This 106-nucleotide ribosomal RNA is filed under the name uncultured bacterium. Its description in RNAcentral is "partial 16S ribosomal RNA". It matches the Rfam family "Bacterial small subunit ribosomal RNA", at positions 1379 to 1482 of the family's 1533-position model. The record is from RNAcentral.
CCUUGUACACACCGCCCGUCACGCCAUGGGAGUUGGUUUUACCUUAAGCCGGCGCCUUAACCCGCAAGGGAGAGAGCCGACCACGGUAGAGUCAGCGACUGGGGCG